Long non-coding RNA from Dreissena polymorpha, 1929 nucleotides. RefSeq lists it as uncharacterized. NCBI's taxonomy places the organism in Eukaryota, Metazoa, Mollusca, Bivalvia, Myida, Dreissenidae. The transcript has 3 exons. The record is from RefSeq and is a predicted model, not a curated record.
UACAUAUUGUUUUUUUCAUCAUAGCAUGUCUUUUAUAUUUAUGCUUUGUGUAAGUAAAAUGUUCAUAAAUCAUUCUUAUCUUUAAACUAAAAAUGUAUUUUGAUAUGCAAAAUGUCUGUAUGAUUUCAGUUGCCAGAGGUGAGUACCAUAACAGUUGAAAAGUUAGUUUUGUUUAGUUAAAGUUUUGGUUCACAGUUUUGUUUGUUAUUUGGCAAAAUUUACAUGUAUGCAUUGAGUCUUGAUUUCAGCUCGAUUGUGGACUGAAGAAGAUUGUCCGCAGAGGGAUUGGAUACAAAAUACAAAGUAAGUACUGAGUUUCUUACUAAAAGUUUUGAGUUGUAUUCAUUGUGUGUUAAUAUGCUAUGAUUGCUAUGAACAUGACUUUUGUAUUUCAGCGAAGACAACAUAGGUAAGUAAAAUUGUUAUCUGUUUCAUGUUUACUGUUACAGUUCAAUAUUGUGUUUAUAAAUUGUAAGUUGUACAAACACAUUCAAAAGUUUCUGAUCAUGCUUUCGAUUUCAUUUCAGCUUUACUGCUGGACGAGUGUUCUCUACUACUAGACGUGUCAGGUUUACUACCAGGCGAGCAGUGACAACAAGGCGCCUUUGUGGAAACAACACAACAAAAAACUGUACUGCUAGACGAGCAGUGACAGAAAGGCGCCUGAACAUGCAACACAAAACAAAAAAUGCCAAUAUACAAACCUUGAUGUGGACACCGAGUAGUCAAUACAUACGUGUGGCGUACAGCUGCGACAAAACCGUGGGUCCAUCGCACCGAUAACUCGAACAUUGGCCCGCGUAUGGACAUCAGUGCAACUUUGUGAAUCCAUGUAACUUUGUGAAUCCAUGUAACAUUGCGAAUGUGUGUCGAUCGAAAAAUGUGUACAUUCUGCACUGAAACGAACUCGGUGUUGCAAGUGGCAAGUGUUGACAGUGUGUAUGUUUAUGUUUAUGUUUUUACAUGAAAAAUAAAGGAGAUUGUUCUCCUACCUUUUUUUUCCUUGUUUUAUUGUGCUGGCCAGCAAUAUUGAUGUAUUGAUGUAUGUGUUUGUGUUUAAACUAUGCAAUACCAAAAUCAAACAAAAAAUAAACAUUAACAGUCAUUAACUGUGUUUGGGCGGCCGAGGGGUUUAAGACUCCACAAGUGUGAAGCGCACUGAUAGCACUUGGGGGUAAACACCUCGGUAUUUCGGUGCUAAAAUGUUUUCACGGUGCUUAUUUUGACGCACUGUUAGAACUACCAACCAGUAAAUGAUUGCUUGAUUUAUAAAACAAAUAUUCAGUCUCUACUUUGGCACAAGAGACUCUAAGUAUCAAAUAACAACAAUUUAAGCGCAGACAAUCACAUGGUGGUACACCAGUCCGAAUAUACUCAUUGCUCUAGCCAGGAUUGCAAAUUACUUGUGUUGACUAGCAAGGCUCCCUAGUAACGGAGCAGUGUUACUGGCGUUUUUUGGGUCGAUAGUGCUUAGGUGAGGUUUUGCUCGAAUCGGGAGCGGGUCACUCGCUUGGGCGAGUUAGUUUUCGCUCGUAGUUUCCAAUCUGGCUAGAUCACUGUAAGGUUGUUUUGACUGCUAUUUGGCAAGCAGAAAGACAACAGCGGUUAAUUGACUGAGUAUGGGCGACCGAGGUAUGUAGGUGUCAAUAGACCGACUCCACAAGUUGCGAAGCGAACCGAUAGCACUUGAGGGGAAACGCCUCGGUUUUCGGUUCUAACAUGUGUUAUCCAUGCUGUCGUUAUACUCUGGCAAGGCUCCUCAAUCUAUCGCGAGGGACACUCAUUAUUGCCCGCAAGCUUUAGAACCUGACGUGGGUCGAUGCGUAUGCGAGUCCGAGGACGCGAUGGCAUUUGAUAAGGCUACCAACCGGUUGAUAACACGCAUUGUUCAAAUUGUUAGGUUUAAGUCUGCUAGGGCUGGGGUGGGAA